This is a long non-coding RNA of Suricata suricatta (meerkat), 382 nucleotides long. RefSeq lists it as uncharacterized. The record is from RefSeq and is a predicted model, not a curated record. The transcript has 2 exons. NCBI's taxonomy places the organism in Eukaryota, Metazoa, Chordata, Mammalia, Carnivora, Herpestidae.
GCCAUCUAGUGCUUUGAUGACGUCAGGGCAGACGAAUGGCUUUGGUCCUAGGAGAUGACAGUUGGAGUGGAGUCCUUAAGAUGACGGAGUUGUUUUUCUCAAACUGGGGUCUACGGGUUGUUGAAUUAACCUCAGGAGGUGAUCAUCAACUCUACACGUCGUCAGAUUCCAUCUGUUGUCUGGCUGUCCUUGAGAAGAGAUGUGUUUCUGCGUUCUUCAUUGAGUGUCUGGCUAAAGCGCAGUGGCAGCAUCCAGUCUCUGAUGCCUUUCCCUCCAACCACUCCUCUUGGCAGUGUUUUCUGUAUCUUAGAUGUUGACUUGACUCCUAGUUUACAUCUGGGAAUUUUUUUUUAACCAUUGUCUUAAAAUGCAGUGUAGAGAA